AACGUAGGAGGCGAGCGUUAUCCGGAUUUACUGGGCGUAAAGCGUGUGUAGGCGGUUUGAUAAGUUGGAUGUGAAAGCUCCCGGCUCAACUGGGAGAGGUCGUUCAAAACUAUCAGACUCGAGAGUGGUAGAGGGAGGUGGAAUUCCGCGUGUAGUGGUGAAAUGCGUAGAUAUGCGGAGGAACACCAGUGGCGAAAGCGGCCUCCUGGCCCAUUUCUGACGCUCAGACACGAAAGCUAAGGUAGCAAACGGGAUUAGAGACCCCGGUAGUCUUAGCUGUAAACGAUGUGAACUUAGUGUCGGUGGGGUUAAAUCCAUCGGUACUGAAGCUAACGCGAUAAGUUCACCGCCUGAGGACUACGGCCGCAAGGUUAAA
Molecule: ribosomal RNA, 376 nt
Filed under: uncultured bacterium
Lineage: Bacteria
Description: bacterial SSU rRNA
Rfam family: Bacterial small subunit ribosomal RNA
Source: RNAcentral